RNAcentral lists this ribosomal RNA (286 nucleotides) under uncultured archaeon SYA_2000_14. RNAcentral describes it as "partial 16S ribosomal RNA". It matches the Rfam family "Archaeal small subunit ribosomal RNA", at positions 521 to 805 of the family's 1478-position model. The record is from RNAcentral.
GUAGCCGGCCGGAUAAGUCUCUUGGGAAAUCUGGCAGCUUAACUGUCAGGCUUUCAGGGGAUACUGUCUGGCUCGAGGCCGGGAGAGGUGAGAGGUACUUCAGGGGUAGGGGUGAAAUCUUGUAAUCCUUGAAGGACCACCAGUGGCGAAGGCGUCUCACCAGAACGGACCUGACGGCAAGGGACGAAAGCUAGGGGCACGAACCGGAUUAGAUACCCGGGUAGUCCUAGCCUGUAAACGAUACUCGCUAGGUGUCGGCCACGGUGCGACCGUUGUCGGUGCCGUA